RNAcentral lists this ribosomal RNA (117 nucleotides) under Danio rerio (zebrafish). Lineage: Eukaryota; Metazoa; Chordata; Actinopteri; Cypriniformes; Danionidae. The record is from RNAcentral.
AGCCACAGCCAUGUCACCCAGCAGCCAAAGACCGGUUACUCACUGAAGCUAAGCAGGGCUGAGCCUAGUCAGUACCUGGAUGGGAGACCACUAGGGAACACUAGGUUGCUGUUGGAA